CCUACGGGAGGCAGCAGUGAGGAAUAUUGGUCAAUGGGCGAGAGCCUGAACCAGCCAAGUCGCGUGAGGGAGUACUGCCCUAUGGGUUGUAAACCUCUUUUAUAAAGGAAUAAAGUGAGGCACGUGUGCCUUUUUGUAUGUACUUUAUGAAUAAGGAUCGGCUAACUCCGUGCCAGCAGCCGCGGUAAUACGGCGGAUCCGAGCGUUAUCCGGAUUUAUUGGGUUUAAAGGGAGCGUAGAUGGGUUGUUAAGUCAGUUGUGAAAGUUUGCGGCUCAACCGUAAAAUUGCAAUUGAUACUGGCAGCCUUGAGUACAGUUGAGGUAGGCGGAAUUCGUGGUGUAGCGGUGAAAUGCUUAGAUAUCACGAAGAACUCCGAUUGCGAAGGCAGCUUACUAAACUGCCACUGACAUUGAUGCUCGAAAGUGUGGGUAUCAAACAGGAUUAGAUACCCUAGUAGUC
This 460-nucleotide ribosomal RNA is filed under the name uncultured bacterium. Its description in RNAcentral is "partial 16S ribosomal RNA". It matches the Rfam family "Bacterial small subunit ribosomal RNA", at positions 338 to 795 of the family's 1533-position model. The record is from RNAcentral.